UUCUGCCCAAUUCUGCCCCACUCUAUCUUGCUCCCUUCAAAAUCUAUGGUGCUGAUGACCGCCUGUGAGAGGUGAUAUCCUGUGAGAGGCUGGGAAGGGGAGUGUCCGUUUGAGCUGGAAGGCUGCCUGGAGGAGGUGUGGCUUGAACUGGGCUUGAGCAGUGGGAAGGAUUUGGAGAGCGGAGGAAUGAAGGAGAGCAGAGAGGAGAGGCUUGGAGAAAAAUGAGAAGUCUCUCCAGCCCCAAUGACGGCAAGCACCCUGGAGCUGAGGGGGCUGAGUGGCGGCUGUGCCCUUUGGACAGGCAGCAGCUCCCAGUUUUCUCACCUAGGGGUAGCUGGUGGCCAAGAGGAAAGAGGAGUUGUCGUAAGUCAAUUUUUUCCCUGGCUUUCCUUUCUAAAGCCACCCCUGAGGGGAUGAUGCUGGAAGUGGGAGAAGGAGGAAGGGGAGAGGGAGAGCUCCAAGGGAAACAGGAAUAGGGAGAAAAGGUGCUUCCUGGCCCCUGGAGAUGUCUCCAAUGGGUGCAGGUUUCGUAAGUAGUGGGACCCCAGCUUUCCCUGCAGCAAACCAGGAGGAAUGGCUCGGUGAUUUCCAGUAACCCUGAAGGUUUCCAGCCCCAGUGUGGGACAAAAGUAGAGUGCAGGGCACCUAAAAAGACUAAGGCUGGGAACAGUGAUUGUUUCUGAAGUAAGCAGAGGGGUUCGAGGACCCGAGGUCUUCCCAAAGCCUACAUUUUGUGUAAGACUCCGUGACCUUCACAUAAUUUUUGCCUGGGGGGAAGAGCACCUGGCCGUGAUGCACUAGGGUUACAUUUCCAGGCAGCAUUGCAGAAGGAGGGCUCCAGAAUUCAAAGCUACAAUGAUUUAUGGAAAAGGCUAAAUGGGAUUCUUCCUGUAAGCUUGAGUUUGAAGACUGAGGUUCUUGCCUCCAGAGUAGAUAUUGAGGCAGAUUAGUUCCAGAAUUGGGUUACGGUGUUCAGAGAUGGCUAAUGUGUAUUGUCUAGAGGGCCAACUCAGGCUGGGAGGGGCUCUCUAGGGCUUUGUGUUAAGAGGGAUUCUGAGGCAGUCUUGGCUGGCUGGGGGGAAAGCAAGCCUUCAUUGAUUAGUGAGCUGUAGCAUGGAUGUGAUUUUUGGUCUUAUU
RNAcentral lists this long non-coding RNA (1137 nucleotides) under Homo sapiens (human). Its description in RNAcentral is "HSALNT0358634". The record is from RNAcentral. Lineage: Eukaryota; Metazoa; Chordata; Mammalia; Primates; Hominidae.